Molecule: ribosomal RNA, 253 nt
Filed under: uncultured bacterium
Lineage: Bacteria
Description: partial 16S ribosomal RNA
Rfam family: Bacterial small subunit ribosomal RNA
Source: RNAcentral
UACGAAGGGGGCUAGCGUUGUUCGGAAUCACUGGGCGUAAAGGGCGCGUAGGCGGCCGAUCAAGUCGGGGGUGAAAGCCUGUGGCUUAACCACAGAAUGGCCUUCGAUACUGUUUGGCUUGAGACCGGAAGAGGUUAGUGGAACUGCGAGUGUAGAGGUGAAAUUCGUAGAUAUUCGCAAGAACACCAGUGGCGAAGGCGGCUGACUGGUCCGGUUCUGACGCUGAGGCGCGAAAGCGUGGGGAGCAAACAGG